AACUUGUUCUUGAAAGUUAUUUCGAAAAGUGUUAGAUAAUGCCUAAAAAGAUAUAAUAGGUAUAAUGAACAAUCGCAGCUGAUGAUUUUAAAUAUAUUGGCUUUUUUUCAACUGGAAAAGGAACAAGUCCGAAACGGCAUUGCACUUCAAAUUGAGAAUGUGAUAGAGCGAGCCGCAGAUGCAACAAAAUUGAGCACAACAACGAUCGCAAAUAUAAAGAAGAAUGGGAUAAAAUCAGAUCAGGAUUACGCAGCCCGUAUAUCUUCCAAGCAAAAGACAGAAAAAGCCAAAAUUACAACAUAUUUGAAACAUAGAAUUUGGGACACAAUUUAUUCUAUGUACGCCAGAAAACAAUAUGUAAUAUUGGCAACAAUAAGAGAAAAGUUCAAGGAAGAAAUUGAAUAUUUUGAGUUUUCCAUUGACUCCUUAAGAAGAUGGAUCAAUAGUAUAGGCUUCAAGUGGAAAAAAUCAAAUAACAGAAAAUAUUUGAUGGACUUGCCAUAUAUUGUUCAUAAAAGAAUCAAUUUUUUAAGGGAGUAUAUCAAAAAUAGAAAUGUAGGUCUGGAAGGUUUUACUCCAGUUUUCAUUGAAGAGACGUGGAUUUUUAGCAAGGGAUCAUUUCGUAGUAGCUGGCAAGAUGACACCAAGCACACGGAUUCAAGCAAAAACAGUGAAGGUCAUCGUUAUAUCGUGGUCCACGUCGGAACCAAAGAUGGCUUCAUCAAGGGUACAAAUUUAAUAUUCAAGAGUGGAUUAAAGACGGGAGAUUAUCAUGACAAUAUGAACAGGAAAAACUUCGAAAACUGGUUUAAAACUCAGCUGGUUCCAAAUCUUCCACCAAAGUCAUUUAUAAUCAUGGACAAUGCAAGUUACCAUUCUGGUUUAUUAGAAGAAAUCCCGAGAAAAUCUUGGACAAAGCAGAGACUCACCGAAUGGUUGAAGAAAAAGAAUAUUGGCUUUCCAAAAAAAGCCAUGAAAGAUAAAAUAUGCUGCAACUGCCCUAGUGAAAAAAGUACUUCCUUGAUGAAUAUAUUAAACCUUUAGGACACAAAAUUUUGCGACUGCCACCAUAUCAUUGCCAGUUUAAUGCAAUUGAAAUGGUAUGGUCGGAAAGUAAACGAAAAUAUGAUCAAUAUAUUUCCAAUUUUAAGCGGUCACCUUCAGAAGUUCUGACUACAUGGGAAAGGGUAAUAAACGAAAUUUCUCUAGAUCAUUGGCAAAAAUAUGUUUUUCAUACAGAAAAGGUAAUUGAAAAGGCUUGGGAGGCAAUACGAGUGUGUGAUGCCUAUGACAUUUUGCCACUUGUGAUUACGACUGACGAAGACGACGAUGACGAAGACAAUAUCUCUAAUUUCAGUUCUCACUCUAACAAUACUGACGAGAUUGAUUAAGCUUUUUUUGUUCUAGCAAAUGCUAAAGUUUCUAACCUAAUAUUGAUUGGCAAAAAUAUCUCUGCCAUACGUUUUUUCUCACCUGGAUGACGUAACUACAAAUGGGUAUAAUUUCGACUUUACAAGACGUCCUUUAACAUGCAUAUGCAGACUUUUAAGUACUUUAAUUGAAAUCUUAUCUGCUCCUGAAGAGCAGUUAUUCUUUAAACUGUUAAUACACAUAACAAUUUUAUUUUAAUUAACAGGAGUCAGAUACAUAAAGGACAGUACAUUUUUUCUACUAAUAUGAGGUGUAUGGGGAUUUUGAAUAUUCUGUGCCAUCUUUUUACCAAUAUUUACAAAAAAAUCAUUGCAAAAAUUUCUUUUUUUUUUGUUAUAAUAGUCCUAUUUGCUUUUAUUUGCUUAAUGCUUGAUUUAGUUACAGUUUUAUUUGUAGCCUCCGAAAUUAAUUUAUAGGUUUUUCUCAUGUCUUUUGCGCAAUUUGUUAUUUUCUCGUGAUAAAAAUUAUGUUUUAUGGCCCUGAUUAAGUUAUUUAAUUUGUUUCUGUAUUUUUUGUAUUCAAUUAUUUUUCCGAGAUCAUUAUUAUAUUUAAGUACUUUCUUCAGUUUGUCACGGUUUUUUAUAGAAUUAAUAAUUGCGGUCGUAAUCGUAAGCUUUAGUUUUUUUGUUUUUUUUAUAACCAUUUAUCUUUUUUUCUGAUAAUUUUAAUAUGUUCUGUAUAUUCUUCAAAAAACAGUCUGUGGCAUUAUCGAGAAUAGGCUCAGCUAUAACAUUUUCCCAAUUUACCUCUGCGGCAAGAGAGAAUAGCUUUUGAAAAUUGAUUAUAGUUUCCCCUUAACUUUCCGCUGAUCCACCUUCACUGAUGCAUCCUAUUGUUUGAGCAACAGGAAUGUGCAGUUAAUUUAAAAUAUUAUUUAGUGAACUUUCCUACCAGUCAAUGUCAAUAGGUACUUAAAUCAGUUAAAAUUUAUUGCGAUAAUUUAUGUAUUAUUGUUAGUAACUAUGAUAUACAGCCUUAGGCAAAGAAUUAAAAUGAUUUUGGCGAGCAAGGAAGGUGCUCAAGUAGAGAUUUUUGGAACAUUCGUUGUAAAACCCUCUAAUUUUCUACCUACACUUCUAACUGGAAUAUCACAUCAAACCGAAAUUUAUAAGGAUGAUUUUGAAGAAUAGAGUUUUGCGAAACCAUGUCCAAGAUAAUAAAUACUCGUGAAAUUUUGAUAACCAAAAUUUGCUUCAGUGAUGAAUGUACCUUUUUCCUAGGCGGCCAUGUCAAUAAACAAAGUUGUCAAUACUGGAGUAACAAUCCCCAUAUUUUUAGAAAGGGUGCUACACAGUGACACACUGGAAGAAGACUUCCAGUGUGUCAACUGGAGAGCUCUACUUACACCUACUUAAAGUUGUAAUAAUAUACGUUACAGAAAUAAUGUCUAAUAAUAAGUAAUUUGUAAUGUUUAAAUAACCCUAACUUGGCAACGCAGCACUCAAAUUUAAAAAAUAAGGAGCCAAAAUAUAGGGAAUAAAAAGUUCUUUCAAAUGGUGUAUCAUUGAAUAUCUUUUGCCAUUUAAGAUUUUCGAGAGGAAGAUUUUGGGGGGUAGGAGGUUGAAAGAGGCAAACUGAUUUCUAUAUAAAAAUUGUUUCUCCUCGAGAAUAAAAUUGACGUGUCUUUAUUUUAUAAAAAUCUAACUAGUUUCAAGGUAAUAGGGGUGGGAAGUUUUCAAAUGAAUACCCUGUAUAUUUAAUUGUAUUAGCUGUAUUUUUAGGAUUUAAUAAUUUUUUUUAA
This 3172-nucleotide unclassified non-coding RNA is filed under the name Anthonomus grandis grandis. RNAcentral describes it as "uncharacterized LOC126737680". Lineage: Eukaryota; Metazoa; Arthropoda; Insecta; Coleoptera; Curculionidae. The record is from RNAcentral.